CGCUCAAAAAAAAGAAGAUUUACAGCCACCACACAACUUGUUCUCCACCCAAAUCAAACCCUCCCUAGACCUCCUCCUCAACCGCCGCCGCCGUCCCCUGACCACGCCCUCCACCACCACCCCUUUGGUUGACCUGUGCGACCCCAUCGGGAUAUAUGGCGGCGGGGCUUGGAUCUCGGCGUCGCCUCCCCCGAUACGCCUGCGACGUCGUCGUCGCCUCCCUCCCUUUGAGACCACCACCAGAACUGGUCGACGAUGGCAGUCGCGUCCAUCUCUUCUUUACGGUCCAUCACGCUAAUGAGCAUAGGUGGACUACCCACCACGGCUUCCUCCCCACCAACGGCGAGCGUGGUGUCCCAUCUCUACUAUGCUGGUACAAUACUUUCCUCAUAUCCAUCUUGGUGGAAACCCGAUGUAGGCGAGAUCUUCCUUACCAAGGUUGUUAAUCUUUUCUUCUCUGCUCGAUGAGAACUCAUGGUGCGCGUUGUCCAGUUGUCCGUAUGAAGGCAGAUUUCCCCUUCCACCGAGUUACUACUGAGCGUGUUCCUUGUUUUUUUUCCUUUUCCUACCAAAUUGAUGCAGGUGCUAUUAGUGAAAGGACUGGAGACUGGUUCUUGCGGUGGUUGGUUUGUUUGAGGAAUUCCUAGUGCUUGUGAUUUGUAAAGGGUUUCAGCCAGGGCAAGUAAUUAUCAGCUGAGCAAAGGCUACAACAUGCUAGGAGGAGAAGUUUGAAUGGAGGCAGAGAGUACACUUGGAAAUAGAAUGGAAAAAGGAAGACGAGACUGAAGCACAAGAGCGAGAGGCUAGCGGAAGUUAAAGCAAUAAACUAUAAGCAUUUUGAAUGAUUAGGGCCUCGCGUUGUUGGGAACAUUACAGCCAUGGGGAAAGCUAUUUUUUGUUGCUACUUUAGCAUAGAAGCAACUAUAUGCUCAUUUUGCCCAUGCGUCGCAUCCAAAACAUAUGCAAUUUUCCGUUUGUUGCACAACACCCUUAUAUAUGGGCGUUUCUAGAAACCUAUGUAUUUGGUUGUUAAUUUUAUUGAAUGAAGUUAAGUUUUACUA
Molecule: long non-coding RNA, 1061 nt
Organism: Triticum aestivum (bread wheat)
Lineage: Eukaryota; Viridiplantae; Streptophyta; Magnoliopsida; Poales; Poaceae
Exons: 3
Source: RefSeq, a predicted model, not a curated record